This 507-nucleotide ribosomal RNA is filed under the name uncultured bacterium. RNAcentral describes it as "bacterial SSU rRNA". It matches the Rfam family "Bacterial small subunit ribosomal RNA", at positions 9 to 526 of the family's 1533-position model. The record is from RNAcentral.
GAGUUUGAUCCUGGCUCAGGACGAACGCUGGCGGCGUGCCUAACACAUGCAAGUCGGACGAAGCUUUGAGGAGCUUGCUUUUUAAAGCUUAGUGGCGGACGGGUGAGUAACGCGUGAGCAACCUGCCUCUCAGAGGGGGGAUAACGUUUUGAAAAGAACGCUAAUACCGCAUAAUAUAUCGGAACCGCAUGAUUCUGAUAUCAAAGGAGCAAUCCGCUGAGAGAUGGGCUCGCGUCCGAUUAGUUAGUUGGUGAGGUAACGGCUCACCAAGCCGACGAUCAGUAGCCGACCUGAGAGGGUGACCGGCCACAUUGGGACUGAGACACGGCCCAAACUCCUACGGGAGGCAGCAGUGGGGAAUAUUGCACAAUGGGGGAAACCCUGAUGCAGCGACGCCGCGUGAAGGAAGAAGUAUCUCGGUAUGUAAACUUCUAUCAGCAGGGAAGAUAGUGACGGUACCUGACUAAGAAGCCCCGGCUAACUACGUGCCAGCAGCCGCGGUAAUAC